Molecule: ribosomal RNA, 459 nt
Filed under: uncultured bacterium
Lineage: Bacteria
Description: partial 16S ribosomal RNA
Rfam family: Bacterial small subunit ribosomal RNA
Source: RNAcentral
CCUACGGGAGGCAGCAGUGAGGAAUAUUGGUCAAUUGCCGGAAGGCUGAACCAGCCAAGUAGCGUGCGGGAUGACUGCCCUAUGGGUUGUAAACCUCUUUUAUGCGGGAAUAAUCUGUGCUACGUGUGGCUUGUUGCCUGUACCUCAUGAAUAAGCACCGGCUAAUUCCGUGCCAGCAGCCGCGGUAAUACGGAGGGUGCGGGCGUUAUCCGGCUUUAUUGGGUUUAAAGGGUGCGUGGGCGGUCUCUUAAGUUUGUGGUUAAAGGCGGGGGCUUAACCUUGGCGUGGCGUUAAAACUGUGGGGCUCGAGUGCGCACGAGGUAGGCGGAAUACGUGAUGUAGCGGUGAAAUGCUUAGAUAUCACGUAGAACUCCGAUAGCGAAGGCAGCUUACCGGAGCGCUACUGACGCUGAAGCACGAAGGCGUGGGUAUCGAACAGGAUUAGAUACCCGGGUAGUC